UGAACGCUGGCGGCAGGCUUAAUACAUGCAAGUUGAACGGUAACAUGUUGUAGCAAUACGAUGAUGACGAGUGGCGCACGGGUGCGUGACACGUGUGUAACCUACCUUAUACAGGAACAUAACGUUGAGAAAUCGGACGCUAACAUUCCAUAAUAUUAUUUGUAGGCAUCUAUGAAUAAUUAAAAACUCCGGUGGUAUAAGAUGGGGCACGCGUUCCAUUAGCUAGUUGGUAAGGUAACGGCUUACCAAGGCAACGAUGGAUAGGGGUUCUGAGAGGAUAAUCCCCCCACACUGGAACUGAGACACGGUCCAGACUCCUACGGGAGGCAGCAGUAAGGAAUAUUGGGCAAUGGAGGCAACUCUGACCCAGCCAUGCCGCCGUGCAGGAAGACGGCCCUAUGGGUUGUAAACUGUCUUUUAAUAGGGAUUAAAGUCGACUACGUGUAGUUGUUUGCAAGUACCUAUAGAAUAAGCAUCGGCUAACUCCGUGCCAGCAGCGGC
RNAcentral lists this ribosomal RNA (501 nucleotides) under uncultured bacterium. Its description in RNAcentral is "bacterial SSU rRNA". It matches the Rfam family "Bacterial small subunit ribosomal RNA", at positions 30 to 518 of the family's 1533-position model. The record is from RNAcentral.